RNAcentral lists this ribosomal RNA (406 nucleotides) under uncultured bacterium. Its description in RNAcentral is "partial 16S ribosomal RNA". It matches the Rfam family "Bacterial small subunit ribosomal RNA", at positions 29 to 526 of the family's 1533-position model. The record is from RNAcentral.
AUUGAACGCUGGCGGCAGGCUUAACACAUGCAAGUCGAGCGAGCGGCGGACGGGUGAGUAAUGCUUAGGAAUCUGCCUGAUGGAGGGGGAUAACUACUGGAAACGGUAGCUAAUACCGCAUACCAUCAGACGUGCCCAGAUGGGAUUGGCUAGUAGGGGGGGUAACGGCUCACCUAGGCGACGAUCCCUAGCUGGUCUGAGAGGAGGACCAGCCACACUGGAACUGAGACACGGCCCAGACUCCUACGGGAGGCAGCAGUGGGGAAUAUUGCACAAUGGGCGCAAGCCUGAUGCAGCCAUGCCGCGUGUUGGAAGAAGGCCUUCGGGUUGUAAAGCACGUUCAGCGGGGAGGCGUUACCCGCAGAAGAAGCACCGGCUAACUCCGUGCCAGCAGCCGCGGUAAUAC